UAAAGGCAUUCAUAACUGGAGGAAGAAAAGCAUCUUUUUCAAGCUUCCUUAUUGGAAAAAUAAUUUAAUAUGUCAUAAUUUAGAUGUGAUGCAUAUUGAGAAAAAUGUGUGCGAUAAUAUCAUUGGGACAUUAUUAGAUAUUGAAGGAAAAACAAAAGAUAAUUUGAAUGUUCGUCAUGAUUUGAAGGAAAUGGGUAUAAGAAGUCAGUUGCAUCCAACUCAAAGGGAUGGAAGAUGGUGUUAUCCGGCAGCAUGCUAUUCUUUAUCAGCAGAUGAGAAGUCUAAAGUAUGCAAGUUCUUGAAAAUGAUUAAGGUUCCAAAUGGUUAUUCUUCUAAUAUAUCAUGGUGGGUGAAGUAAGAAGAUCGUAAAAUUUAUGGACUGAAGAGUCAUGAUUCUCAUAUUCUAUUGGAACAAUUGCUUCCUCUUGCAAUUCGCGGAGUCGUGCCAAAUAAUGUAUAUGAUGCUAUCACUGAGUUAAGUAUUUUCUUUAGAGAAUUGUGCUCGAAAACAUUAAGGGUUGAUGUGUUGGACCAACUUGCAACUCAAAUUCCGAUAACAUUGAGCAAAUUAGAGAAAAUAUUUCUACCGGCAUUUUUUGAUGUUAUGGUACACUUAGUCAUUCAUCUUCCAAGAGAGGCUAAGCUUGGUGGACCUGUACAAUAUAGGUGGAUGUACCCAAUUGAGCGAAGGGUAUAUUGUUGAAGAAAGUAUAAUAUUUUGUUCAAGGUACUUACCUGGAAAUGUGAAAGGAUAUGAUCGAAUGGAUAAGAAUUAUGAAGAUGAUCGUAUUAAGACAUAUAGUGGAUUAUCCGUAUUUGAAAGAAAAGGUUCUCCUUUAU
Long non-coding RNA from Solanum stenotomum, 840 nucleotides. RefSeq lists it as uncharacterized. The record is from RefSeq and is a predicted model, not a curated record. The transcript is spliced from 2 exons. NCBI's taxonomy places the organism in Eukaryota, Viridiplantae, Streptophyta, Magnoliopsida, Solanales, Solanaceae.